ACUAGAUCAACAGUUUACCUAAUCAGCCAAAGGUCGGUUUCAAACAAUAUUCUAGUUAUGUCAAAGUUGGUGAAACAAGUCUAAGUAGAUCAAUCUUCUACUACUUUGUAGAGGCAGAUGUAGAUCCUGCUUCAAAACCAGUUGUACUCUGGUUAAACGAAGGACCUGACAUCUCAUCAGUUGGCCAAGGUGCCUUUUCAGAACACAAAGGGUCAACAACAAAGGGUCUUGUCAAAAACCCCUUCAGUUGGAGCGAAGUUUGGAAGCACACAUGAUCAACAACUUACAUAAUCAGCCAAAGGUCGGUUUAAAACAAUAUUCUGGUUAUGUCAAGAUUGGUGAAACAAGACUAAGUAGAUCAAUCUUCUACUACUUUGUAGAGGCAGAUGUAGAUCCUGCUUCAAAACUAGUUGUACUCUAGUUAAAUGGAGGACCUGGCUGCUCAUCAGUUGGCUAAGGUGUCUUUUCAGAACACGCUCCUAUCCGGCCAACAACAAAGGGUCUUGUUAAAAACCCCUUCAGUUGGAGCAAAGUAGCUAACAUGAUCUAUUUUUGUGACAUUGUGAGAGUGUACCUUUUUCGAUAUAAUCAAAUUUGUUAGUACGUGACCCCUUCAAUAUAUUUAUGUAUAUGUAUGUAUGUACAUACAUACGUAUGUAAGUAAAUAUGUGCGCGCACGCACGCACGCGCGCGUGUUGAAAAAUAUAUUUAAUAUAGACAUUAUUACCAAUUGUUAGAGAUCUUAAAAUAAAAGAAUAAUAUUGAAAUGAUACAAAUAUAAAUUAUUAUUUUUUCUUUUUAAAUUUUGAUUACCACUACUUAUCUUAAUUUAAGUUUGGAAGCAGACAGGAUCAACAACUUACCUAAAUAGCCAAAGGUCGGUUUCAAACAAUAUUCAGUUUAUGUUAAUGUUGGUGAAACAAGUCCAAGUAGAUCAAUCUUCUAAUACUUUCUAGAGGCAGAUGUACAUCCUGCUUCAAAACCAGUUGUACUUUGGUUAAAUGGAGGACCUGGCUGCUCAUCAGCUGGCCAAGAUGCCUUUUCAGAACAUGGUCAUUUCCGGCCAACAACAAAGGGUCUUGUUAAAAACCCCUUCAGCUGGAACAAAGGUUGAUGCAGAUGAUAUGAAGAUGAAAAAGAGGAGGAGAAGAUGAAGAAAACCUAAC
Molecule: long non-coding RNA, 1166 nt
Organism: Medicago truncatula (barrel medic)
Lineage: Eukaryota; Viridiplantae; Streptophyta; Magnoliopsida; Fabales; Fabaceae
Exons: 7
Source: RefSeq, a predicted model, not a curated record